CAAUUCUAGAGCUAAUACGUGCACGAAGGCUCGGACCUUUGGGGAAGAGCGCAUUUAUUAGACCAAAACCAAUCGAGCUUCGGCUUGUGUUUUGGUGACUCUGAAUAACUUAGUCGAUCGCACAGUCUUAGUACUGGCGACGUAUUUUUCAAAUGUCUGCCUUAUCAACUUUCGUUGGUAGGUUAUACGCUUACCAAGGUGACAACGGGUAACGGAGAAUAAGGGUUCGACUCCGGAGAGGGAGCCUGAGAAAUGGCUACCACAUCCAAGGAAGGCAGCAGGCGCGCAAAUUACCCAAUCCCAGCUCGGGGAGGUAGUGACGAAAAAUAACGAGGUCGUCCACUUUGUGGCCGGCCAUCGGAAUGGGUACAAUUUAAAUCUUUUAACGAGGAUCUAUUAGAGGGCAAGUCUGGUGCCAGCAGCCGCGGUAAUUCCAGCUCUAAUAGCGUAUAUUAAAGUUGCUGUGGUUAAAACGCCCGUAGUUGGAUUUUCGGUCUUGAAGCUUGGUAGCUCGUAAGGGUUUAACUGAGUCUUCUGGCCUAAAUUUUAGUUUUCUCCUGAUGCUCUUUAUUGAGUGUCUUGAGUAGCUAGAACGUUUACUUUGAAAAAAUUAGAGUGCUAAAAGCAGGCUAUAUGCUUGAAUAAAGUGCAUGGAAUAAUGGAAUAGGACUUUAGUUUUAUUUUGUUGGUUUUCGAAAUUAAAGUAAUGAUUAAGAGGAACAGACGGGGGCAU
Molecule: ribosomal RNA, 733 nt
Filed under: Prionchulus punctatus
Lineage: Eukaryota; Metazoa; Nematoda; Enoplea; Mononchida; Mononchidae
Description: SSU rRNA
Rfam family: Eukaryotic small subunit ribosomal RNA
Source: RNAcentral